This 1727-nucleotide long non-coding RNA is filed under the name Homo sapiens (human). Its description in RNAcentral is "non-protein coding lnc-ATM-1:3". Lineage: Eukaryota; Metazoa; Chordata; Mammalia; Primates; Hominidae. The record is from RNAcentral.
GCAGGUGUUUACAGAACAUCCACGGAGUUUGGGCCAAGCCCAGAGUGAGGAGCUGGGCACUGGGGUGGCAGAAGACCAGGCCUUGCCUUGAGCCCUUGUGCGAGCUUUACCUCAAAGCCUCUGUAAUCGAAGUGGGAGAAGGGGUGGUGGUGCGUGGUUGGUCUCAGCCACCUCCACCACUCCUCAGAAGAUGAACGCUGGAUCCAGGAAGAGAUUGUCAAGGUUACUAUCUGCCUCUCUUUUUUGAUCAUUUUAUCCAAUUUGUUAAUGGAUACAAAUUUGUUAAUGGAUUGUUAAUAGAUCUGAAUUUAUUUAAAGCCAAUAAAGAUUCUCCUCUGGCUGAAACAAACUAACAAGUUGGCCUGUUACUGUUUCAUGGAUGCUGUCAAAAGAUACAACACUCCUGUAUCAAAGAACUUUAUUAUUCACUGCAAAAGCAGUAGCCAGAGCUUUAUGUUGGUUUGCUUUUUGUUCCUAAGCCUCCCAAGCCCUGUGGGGACAGUGCACACAGACUAUGAUGGAUGCCUGAAGUGGGUUGCAUUACAAGAGAGGAGCACUGAGCUAAAGGAAUUUGCCUCUUUUAGGCUACACAGAAUUAAGCCUGCUCUUUGAAGGUGGGGAGAUGUUAUCUCAUCCCUCAAACGUUGCUUGCUACAAACACCGCCCAGAGAAAUGGACUGAUAAAGAGCUGGACAUUGGAGUGGCAGAACAGCAAGAAUGAUCAGAGAAGUUCAAGGGCCAUGGCAGAGAGCCUUUUCCAACAUAGUACAGUGUACUUAUACACUACAUAUGAAGGCCAGCUAAUCUAGUCUUGGGAGAACCAAGAGAGGCUUCUGAAAGAGAUGACAUCUAUGCCGAACCUUGAAGGUCAAACAGGAAUCAGCCACAUAAAGAGAAGGAGGAGAGCAUUCUGGAUAGCAGGAACAUCAUGUAUAAAACUUUGAAGUAAACGAUACACUCCGAGAAGUUUUUCAUUCCCUUUCACAUUCAUCUCCAUAUUGAACUCCAAUCUCAAACACCUAUAAUUAAAGUCAGUGUGUGACUCUGGAAGGUCUAGAUUCAAUACACUUCUGUGAAUUGCAGUGGCCUCUGGAAUCUUUACAUUAAUGUCACAUAAAAUUCACAGCUAAUUAUUGUCGACUCAGUUCAUAACAUUUCCACCUUUUCGGUAACUCUUCUUUUUUUACUCCACAGUCCGCCUGGUUAACAGUGAGGCUUUGUAACAGCAUAACUUUAACUAUGGCUACAGUUUAUUGGCUCCUAUUUUGGAAACUGACUCAUGCUGAACUAAUCCCCUUUCCCUGGGAGUUUAAAAUCAAGGUUAGGAGAUUUUUAACGUACCGACUGCUCUCCAACAGCAGCAUUAUAACCUUUGCUAUUUUUUUCCCUUGUAUUCUGAAAAUAGAAGAGAAAUACAGAAAACUCUCUGGGUUAUGUAUAGUGCACUAGAGUCUGGUACAGUUCAUGAGCAGCGUCUCUAUCUCUGGUUUCUGAGACAUCCUUGCAUCCUUAUAAUAAAUUCCUCUUUAACUUUAGAAAUUGUGUAAUUUUCUUUCUUUAAUUUUUAUUUAUUCAUUUAUUUUAUUUUAUUUUGAUGGACUCUCGCUCUGUCAGCCAGGCUGGAGUGGCACCCAGCCACUCUCGAUCUAGAUUCUCCUGCCUCAGCCUCCCAAGUAGCUGGAACUAUAGGCGUGCACCCUGAUGCCGGGUAAUUUUUUAUUUUUAGU